AACGAACGCUGGCGGCACGCCUAACACAUGCAAGUCGAACGAGACCUUCGGGUCUAGUGGCGCACGGGUGCGUAACGCGUGGGAACCUGCCCUUAGGUUCGGAAUAACUCCCCGAAAGGGGUGCUAAUACCGGAUAAUGUCUUCGGACCAAAGAUUUAUCGCCUUUGGAUGGGCCCGCGUUGGAUUAGCUAGUUGGUAGGGUAAAAGCCUACCAAGGCGACGAUCCAUAGCUGGUCUGAGAGGAUGAUCAGCCACACUGGGACUGGGACACGGCCCAGACUCCUACGGGAGGCAGCAGUGGGGAAUAUUGGACAAUGGGCGAAAGCCUGAUCCAGCAAUGCCGCGUGAGUGAUGAAGGCCUUAGGGUUGUAAAGCUCUUUUACCCGGGAUGAUAAUGACAGUACCGGGAGAAUAAGCUCCGGCUAACUCCGUG
RNAcentral lists this ribosomal RNA (433 nucleotides) under uncultured bacterium. Its description in RNAcentral is "partial 16S ribosomal RNA". It matches the Rfam family "Bacterial small subunit ribosomal RNA", at positions 29 to 507 of the family's 1533-position model. The record is from RNAcentral.